This 253-nucleotide ribosomal RNA is filed under the name uncultured bacterium. RNAcentral's name for it is "partial 16S ribosomal RNA". It matches the Rfam family "Bacterial small subunit ribosomal RNA", at positions 524 to 776 of the family's 1533-position model. The record is from RNAcentral.
UACGGAGGGGGCGAGCGUUAUUCGGAAUUAUUGGGCGUAAAGGGCGCGUAGGCGGCUGUACAAGUCAGAGGUGAAAUCCCUCGGCUCAACUGAGGAACUGCCUUUGAAACUGUACGGCUUGAGGCCGGGAGGGGGUAGCGGAAUUCCCAGUGUAGCGGUGAAAUGCGUAGAUAUUGGGAGGAACACCAGUGGCGAAGGCGGCUACCUGGACCGGUUCUGACGCUGAGGCGCGAAAGCCAGGGGAGCGAACGGG